AAAAAAGGAGAGAGGGGGGAGCCGAGCGAUUUUCGGCCAGAGGGUGGCACCGGCGCCGGCGCCGGCCACCGUGUAAAAAAAAAUCUAUUUUUUUUAUUUUUUGUAUUUAUUUAAUAUAUAUGUAUAUGUAUUACUUUUAUUAGAUUAGAAAUAAUAUAUGCAAACUCGAAAAAAGCAAAAAAAUAAAGAAGAGUGAAUAGACCUUUAAUGCGGUUUUUUUGAUGUAUUUUGCUGCGAUUUCUUUGAGUUAACAGUGAAUCUGUUUUUAUUGAUAAGAGAUUUUUUGUAUUUUUUUGCUAAUGAGAUCCCCCUUUUUACAUGAUAAAUUCGGCUUUUAUAGCCGUUUGUCGCACUGUCUGUUCUCUUUUGCUGCUAUUGCGUGUUUGUCUCUUUUUUUGUCUUGCAGGAGUAGUUGAAUUGUGCUGCAGAGUGGAUGGCCAUGGCAGGCGUCGGUGGUGGAUGGGACGUUGCGGCGCUGAGCAGGUUUAAGGUUUCAAAAGCUGAAACCCUAAGUCAGAAUCUGGGUCAAGGAUUUGGGCCUCAUGUGUUUGGGCUAGGGUUAGUUGGGUAGUGGGUCUAUUGUUGGGCUCUGGGUCUUUGAUGGGUUAGUGAGCUGUUAGUUUAGUGGGUUAGGUGUUGGGUAAGGGUUUAAUGGGCUGAUAGGUAUUGGGUUAGUUGAUUAGGUUUUAGUUAUUGGGUUGUCUGUAAUGGGUUGAAUGGGUUAAGGUUGGGUUAAUUUUUGUUGUAUCGGGUCUGAUGGAAUGUAAGUGGGCUAGGGGUAUUUGGGUAAAAAAUUGGCUUGUAACGCUUAACAAUUGAAAAACAUUAUUUAAGAAUCAAACACAAGACUAAUAAAUUCAUAGGAAAAACUUUUAUCAUUCCACUAACAAUCAUUUAUUAAUAUAUUUAUAUAAAUAUAUUUUUUAAUAUAAAAUAUUUUCUUUCACAC
RNAcentral lists this long non-coding RNA (949 nucleotides) under Gossypium barbadense (sea-island cotton). RNAcentral's name for it is "long non-coding RNA (GBAR_LNC007853)". The record is from RNAcentral. Lineage: Eukaryota; Viridiplantae; Streptophyta; Magnoliopsida; Malvales; Malvaceae.